This 67-nucleotide ribosomal RNA is filed under the name uncultured bacterium. Its description in RNAcentral is "partial 16S ribosomal RNA". The record is from RNAcentral.
GGNUCACGAAGUAGGUAGGCUAACCGCAAGGGGGCCGCUUACCACGGUGCGUUUCGUGACUGGGGUG